RNAcentral lists this ribosomal RNA (430 nucleotides) under bacterium. RNAcentral describes it as "partial 16S ribosomal RNA". It matches the Rfam family "Bacterial small subunit ribosomal RNA", at positions 355 to 776 of the family's 1533-position model. The record is from RNAcentral.
UGGGGAAUAUUGGACAAUGGGCGGAAGCCUGAUACAGCCAUGCCGCGUGUGUGAAGAAGGCCUUUUGGUUGUGAAGCACUUUAGGCGAGGAGGAGGCUACUUGGAUUAAUACUCUAGGAUAGUGGACGUUACUCGCAGAAUAAGCACCGGCUAACUCUGUGCCAGCAGCCGCGGUAAUACAGAGGGUGCGAGCGUUAAUCGGAUUUACUGGGCGUAAAGCGUGCGUAGGCGGCUUCUUAAGUCGGAUGUGAAAUCCCUGAGCUUAACUUAGGAAUUGCAUUCGAUACUGGGAAGCUAGAGUAUGGGAGAGGAUGGUAGAAUUCCAGGUGUAGCGGUGAAAUGCGUAGAGAUCUGGAGGAAUACCGAUGGCGAAGGCAGCCAUCUGGCCUAAUACUGACGCUGAGGUACGAAAGCAUGGGGAGCAAACAGG